UUAAUCGAAACCAAAUAGAGGUGAAUCACUGUUAAUGAUUCAAUUGAGACGUCCGAUUAAU
RNAcentral lists this transfer RNA (61 nucleotides) under Pseudoniphargus sp. 1-Basque. RNAcentral's name for it is "tRNA-Asn". The record is from RNAcentral. Lineage: Eukaryota; Metazoa; Arthropoda; Malacostraca; Amphipoda; Allocrangonyctidae.